RNAcentral lists this ribosomal RNA (427 nucleotides) under uncultured bacterium. RNAcentral describes it as "partial 16S ribosomal RNA". It matches the Rfam family "Bacterial small subunit ribosomal RNA", at positions 355 to 774 of the family's 1533-position model. The record is from RNAcentral.
UGGGGAAUAUUGCACAAUGGGCGCAAGCCUGAUGCAGCCAUGCCGCGUGUAUGAAGAAGGCCUUCGGGUUGUAAAGUACUUUCAGCGGGGAGGAAGGCGAUAAGGUUAAUAACCUUGUCGAUUGACGUUACCCGCAGAAGAAGCACCGGCUAACUCCGUGCCAGCAGCCGCGGUAAUACGGAGGGUGCAAGCGUUAAUCGGAAUUACUGGGCGUAAAGCGCACGCAGGCGGUCUGUCAAGUCGGAGGUGAAAUCCCCGGGCUCAACCUGGGAACUGCAUUCGAAACUGGCAGGUUAGAGUCUUGUAGAGGGGGGUAGAAUUCCAGGUGUAGCGGUGAAAUGCGUAGAGAUCUGGAGGAAUACCGGUGGCGAAGGCGGCCCCCUGGACAAAGACUGACGCUCAGGUGCGAAAGCGUGGGGAGCAAACA